GACGAACGCUGGCGGCGUGCUUAACACAUGCAAGUCGAACGGGGUUAAUUCCUUCGGGGAUUAACUUAGUGGCGAACGGGUGAGUAACGCGUGAGGAACCUGCCUUUCAGUGGGGGACAACAGUUGGAAACGACUGCUAAUACCGCAUAAUACAUUUGGGUGGCAUCACUUAAAUGUCAAAGCUUUAUGUGCUGAAAGAUGGCCUCGCGUCUGAUUAGAUAGUUGGUGAGGUAACGGCUCACCAAGUCGACGAUCAGUAGCCGGACUGAGAGGUUGAACGGCCACAUUGGGACUGAGAUACGGCCCAG
This 308-nucleotide ribosomal RNA is filed under the name uncultured bacterium. RNAcentral describes it as "bacterial SSU rRNA". It matches the Rfam family "Bacterial small subunit ribosomal RNA", at positions 28 to 334 of the family's 1533-position model. The record is from RNAcentral.